UAAUACUCCUCUUUUUAGGUGAUCAUGGAACAAACAAGAGUGAUUCUUUCUCUGUCUCCCUAACUUCAUCCUGCAUUUCCUAAUUUUGUUUUAAUCUCAACCAAUUUUGUUUUAAUUCUAACGUACCCUUACCUCUAAAUCUAUAUCUGUCAGAGUCAGAAGCUUUGGUUUUAUAAAAUGUUGACCAUUAAAAUAAAUUUGAACAUUUCCUCCCCAUCUCACCCCCAAACCCUACACCCCUUGAUUGUUUCUUCUUUCUCCUUCUGGUCGUCCUCCCCUCCUCACCACUUUCCUCUUUUUUUUACCAUUUUUUAACAUAUUGCGGCGUUGAAAGUAGGGGAGAUGCAGGAUAAAUCGCAAAUGGAACUGCGGUUAACGGUCGCCGCACUACGAAGUGCGGAUUUGGUGGCUUCGCAGUUGGAUCUGCGGUUGAUGGCAACCACAGGUGGAUCUGCGGUUGGUUCACGGUGGUGCAUGGCCGACGUACUUGGAAGUGCAGUUCUGGUCCUUGAUUGUCUGCAGUUUGAUAUGCGAUUAAGGCGAACCACUCGAUCUGUGGUUGUUUGUUGCCUGGGUGUGUUAUUUGUUUGUUGAGUUAGUAUAUUUUUUUUAAACAAAUUUUUAGUUAUGUUUGUAAAAUAUGAAAUUUUAGUUGUGUU
Long non-coding RNA from Vigna angularis (adzuki bean), 659 nucleotides. RefSeq lists it as uncharacterized. The transcript has 2 exons. NCBI's taxonomy places the organism in Eukaryota, Viridiplantae, Streptophyta, Magnoliopsida, Fabales, Fabaceae. The record is from RefSeq and is a predicted model, not a curated record.